UAUAUCAGUUAUAUCUAUUGUUAAAGAAUUUAACGUGUUAUGAACUCCGAAGUUAAGCGAGUUUGGGCGAGAGUAGUAUUAUGAUGUGUGACCUCCUGUGAAGUCCUCGUGUUGCAUCCC
Molecule: ribosomal RNA, 120 nt
Filed under: Prunus dulcis (almond)
Lineage: Eukaryota; Viridiplantae; Streptophyta; Magnoliopsida; Rosales; Rosaceae
Source: RNAcentral